GACGAACGCUGGCGGCGUGCUUAACACAUGCAAGUCGAACGGAAAGGCCCUGCUUUUGUUGGUUGCUCGAGUGGCGAACGGGUGAGUAACACGUGAGUAACCUGCCCUUGACUUUGGGAUAACUUCAGGAAACUGGGGCUAAUACCGGAUAGGAGCUCCUGCUGCAUGGUGUGGGUUGGAAAGUUUCGGCGGUUGGGGAUGGACUCGCGGCUUAUCAGCUUGUUGGUGGGGUAGUGGCUUACCAAGGCUUUGACGGGUAGCCGGCCUGAGAGGGUGACCGGGCACAUGGGGACUGAGAUACGGACCAGAAUCCUACGGGAGGCAGCAGUGGGGAAUAUUGCACAAUGGGCGGAAGCCAGAUGAAGAAACGCCGCGUGCGGGAUGACGGCUUUCGGGUUGUAAACCGAUUUCGAAUGUGACGAAGCGUGAGUGACGGUAAUGGGUAAAGAAGCACCGGCUAACUACGUG
RNAcentral lists this ribosomal RNA (468 nucleotides) under uncultured bacterium. RNAcentral's name for it is "partial 16S ribosomal RNA". It matches the Rfam family "Bacterial small subunit ribosomal RNA", at positions 28 to 507 of the family's 1533-position model. The record is from RNAcentral.